Molecule: small RNA, 1463 nt
Filed under: Cryptococcus neoformans H99
Lineage: Eukaryota; Fungi; Basidiomycota; Tremellomycetes; Tremellales; Cryptococcaceae
Description: Cryptococcus neoformans var. grubii H99 hypothetical RNA
Source: RNAcentral
UGCUGACAACACAUUGACGCUACAUGUCUCCCAUCGUUCAUGAACCACUAGUACAUCUAGUCAUGACGCCAACCGUCCACCUCUGAGAGAUCUUUGGGUAAAGGACCAGGUCUUCCAGUACCGUUAGGAUCGCCUACUCCAGGUCUCCACCUCCAGGCAUACUUUCUCUGCUCGGACAUCUGUGAUUUAUCACAUUAGUCUGAGGGCUACGCUUGAAGCAACUAUGACUCACUUUGCCUUCGAUGAGGUCGGCAACUUGGCUGCCAACCACAGGCAGCAUUUUAAAGGUGUGCCCACUAUCUCCCGUAGCCAACACCAAACCUCUCCACUUGGGAUGCUCGCAUAGCAGCCAAUUCGCAUCGUCUGUAUCGGUACACCAGCACAUGGAUUGAUUGAUCAGAGGCUUAUUGGCAAACUGCGGUAGGCACAUUUUGACAAGGCGCUGGAUCUCAUCGAGCGCUUCUGUAGGGAUGGUGUCGGUUGGGUUAUCAGCGUGUGAACGAGGGACAGAUAUUCGUUGUGGCGUAGUAGCUCCAAAAGGGGUCCAUUCUUGAUAAUUGGUGUAGCCUGGAAAUUCAUUGCAGAGUUUAAUGAGAUGAUUGUCGGGUCGAGGCUCAAAGAAAAACCCAUAUUUGCUGUUGUAAACGCCUCUGGUUCAAAUUGAUGAUAAGACACGCACCUUGGAAAUGCACUGCCCUUCAAGGUCUAUCAAAGCAGGUGACCAAGCUCCAGCAGCAAGAACGACGAGAUCCGCUUCAUAUUCGGACCCAUCCUUGGCCUUGACACCCUUUACUGUCUUGCCAUCUUCCAUGAGAAUCAAUGAAUCAAAAGUUCCAGAUGCACCAAAUGAAGUCUUGACACCAAAUUGCUCCAGCUCACGGCCCACAGAAUCGAGGGCAUCACGAGCAGCAACCCACCCUCCCCUACCGCACCAGAGCCCUCGCCAGCCCUAUCUUGACUGUCAGCUAAUACUUAAAUUUAUGGCGCAAUGAAAGGGGCUGACUUUGAUGUCGGCGUUCUUCAAAUGGGGAGCCCGUCUGCGAACAUCCUCUUCGUUGUCCAGCCACUCUACAUCGGUGCGUCCCCGAGCGCGCAUCCUGUCCACUUUAGCCUUCAAGAACUUUGUUUCAGCCUCAUCGACUAUGGACAAAGGGCUUAAAGACAGGAUCGGUAUUCCAAGCAUCCCACAGGGUAUCGGCGACACCCUCGUAGGUCCCAACCUGAUCAUCGCCAGCAAUCUUCGCGAGCGAUUUCUUUUAGACAAGUUCCAUGUAUUGCAGAGUAACUUUGGUGCUUACCUUAUUCAAAUCAUUUCCUGCAGAAUUAUUGGAAGGUAUAGGAUAAACAUCCAUGAUCCUGAUAUCCGUAAACCCUCUCCGAGAGAGAUGGAGAGCCGUCGAGGAACCCAUCGUCCCGCCUCCACCAAUGAUGACAAUUUUAGAGUCUGUAGACGCGAGGGCUCC